GCGUCGGUUUAGCUCAAUGGUUACUUCACACCAAGUAGUGUCCACUCUCAGGACCGCGGGCCAGGGGUACAAACCAUGGGCGCUGUCCGAUGUUUUC
Molecule: vault RNA, 97 nt
Filed under: Acanthochromis polyacanthus (spiny chromis)
Lineage: Eukaryota; Metazoa; Chordata; Actinopteri; Pomacentridae
Description: Vault RNA (ENSAPOG00000004733.1)
Rfam family: Vault RNA
About the family: This family of RNAs are found as part of the enigmatic vault ribonucleoprotein complex. The complex consists of a major vault protein (MVP), two minor vault proteins (VPARP and TEP1), and several small untranslated RNA molecules. It has been suggested that the vault complex is involved in drug resistance.
Source: Rfam by way of RNAcentral